AUUGAACGCUGGCGGCAGGCUUAACACAUGCAAGUCGAGCGGGGUGAUGGUGCUUGCACUAUCACUUAGCGGCGGACGGGUGAGUAAUGCUUAGGAAUCUGCCUAUUAGUGGGGGACAACAUCUCGAAAGGGAUGCUAAUACCGCAUACGUCCUACGGGAGAAAGCAGGGGAUCACUUGUGACCUUGCGCUAAUAGAUGAGCCUAAGUCGGAUUAGCUAGUUGGUGGGGUAAAGGCCUACCAAGGCGACGAUCUGUAGCGGGUCUGAGAGGAUGAGCCGCCACACUGGGACUGAGACACGGCCCAGACUCCUACGGAAGGCAGCAGUGGGGAAUUUUGGACAAUGGGCGAAAGCCUGAUCCAGCAAUGCCGCGUGUGUGAAGAAGGCCUUCGGGUUGUAAAGCACUUUUGUCCGGAAAGAAAUGGCUCUGGUUAAUACCUGGGGUCGAUGACGGUACCGGAAGAAUAAGGACCGGCUAACUACGUGCCAGCAGCCGCCGUAA
RNAcentral lists this ribosomal RNA (502 nucleotides) under uncultured bacterium. RNAcentral describes it as "partial 16S ribosomal RNA". It matches the Rfam family "Bacterial small subunit ribosomal RNA", at positions 30 to 523 of the family's 1533-position model. The record is from RNAcentral.